UCCAGGUUAGCUCAGUUGGUAGAGUGCUCCAUUGAAAAUGGAGAGGACUCUUGUUCGAUACGAGGACCAGGCG
RNAcentral lists this transfer RNA (73 nucleotides) under Ixodes scapularis (black-legged tick). It matches the Rfam family "tRNA". From Rfam's summary of the family: Transfer RNA (tRNA) molecules are approximately 80 nucleotides in length. Lineage: Eukaryota; Metazoa; Arthropoda; Arachnida; Ixodida; Ixodidae. The record is from Rfam by way of RNAcentral.